UUUUAUGGCGGCUUUGCAUGGGGCACUUCGGUGCGCCGGGUUCUAGAGUCCUGGUCUGCUAACCCCGUAUAAGCACGCCUACCGC
Molecule: non-coding RNA, 85 nt
Filed under: Pseudomonas mandelii
Lineage: Bacteria; Pseudomonadati; Pseudomonadota; Gammaproteobacteria; Pseudomonadales; Pseudomonadaceae
Source: RNAcentral